AGUGAAUAAUUAAACGGCCGCGGUACCCUAACCGUGCAAAGGUAGCAUAAUCACUUGUCUAUUAAUUGUAGACCAGCAUGAAUGGCAAAAUGAGGGUUUAACUGUCUCUUAUAGUAAAUCAAUUAAACUGAUCCCCUAGUAAAAAAGCUAGAAUAUCUCCAUAAGACCAGAAGACCCUGUGAAGCUUAAACUAAACUACUAAACCAUAUAGUAACUACUUUCGGUUGGGGCAACCUUGGAAAAAAAAAGAACUUCCAAAUCAAUGACCAUAAAUCAUCAUACUGGCCGACAGGCCCAAUCUUAGACCCAGCAAAGCUGAUAAUUGAACCAAGUUACUCCAGGGAUAACAGCGCUAUCUUCUUCAAGAGCCCAUAUCAAAAAGAAGGUUUACGACCUCGAUGUUGGAUCAGGACAUCCUAG
Molecule: ribosomal RNA, 420 nt
Filed under: Echinanthera melanostigma
Lineage: Eukaryota; Metazoa; Chordata; Lepidosauria; Squamata; Dipsadidae
Description: partial large subunit ribosomal RNA
Rfam family: Bacterial large subunit ribosomal RNA
Source: RNAcentral